CACGUAGGGGACGAGCGUUGUCCGGAUUCAUUGGGCGUAAAGCGCGCGCAGGCGGUCGUUCAAGUCGCGUGUGAAAGCCCCCGGCUCAACUGGGGAGGGUCACGCGAUACUGAUCGACUCGAAGGCAGGAGAGGGUAGUGGAAUUCCCGGUGUAGUGGUGAAAUGCGUAGAUAUCGGGAGGAACACCAGUGGCGAAGGCGACUACCUGGCCUGUUUCUUGACGCUGAGGCGCGAAAGCUAGGGGAGCAAACGGG
RNAcentral lists this ribosomal RNA (254 nucleotides) under uncultured bacterium. Its description in RNAcentral is "partial 16S ribosomal RNA". It matches the Rfam family "Bacterial small subunit ribosomal RNA", at positions 524 to 776 of the family's 1533-position model. The record is from RNAcentral.